This 254-nucleotide long non-coding RNA is filed under the name Brassica napus (rape). RNAcentral describes it as "long non-coding RNA (BNAP_LNC022925)". Lineage: Eukaryota; Viridiplantae; Streptophyta; Magnoliopsida; Brassicales; Brassicaceae. The record is from RNAcentral.
GAAGGGUAGAGUAACGCGUGUUUCCUCGCAGUUGAGGUUGCAACACGUGAUCUUGCCUCGCUCUUUCUCCGACACGUGGAUCGCGAGGUGUUCGUGGGCUGGGGUUUUUAGUCUUUUGGGAUUUUGGGUGUAUUAAUUGUAGCCUGGUUUGGAUGCACGGUUGGGUUUGAGUCCCAAUUUUAGUCUUUUUGUUUUGUUCUUCUUUUGAGUUUUAUUUUUUUGGUACGAGCUUUAGUCUUUUUAUAAUAUUAAUA